CCUACGGGAGGCAGCAGUAAGGAAUAUUGGUCAAUGGACGAAAGUCUGAACCAGCCAUGCCGCGUGAAGGAUUAAGGCCCUCUGGGUUGUAAACUUCUUUUAUCUGGGACGAAAAAAGGGUAUUCUUACUCACUUGACGGUACCAGAGGAAUAAGCACCGGCUAACUCCGUGCCAGCAGCCGCGGUAAUACGGAGGGUGCAAGCGUUAUCCGGAUUUACUGGGUUUAAAGGGUGCGUAGGUGGGCUUGUAAGUCAGUGGUGAAAUCUCCGGGCUUAACCCGGAAACUGCCAUUGAUACUAUAGGUCUUGAAUUAUCUGGAGGUAAGCGGAAUAUGUCAUGUAGCGGUGAAAUGCUUAGAUAUGACAUAGAACACCAAUUGCGAAGGCAGCUUACUACGGAUAUAUUGACACUGAGGCACGAAAGCGUGGGGAUCAAACAGGAUUAGAUACCCUGGUAGUCCACGCCCUAAACGAUGGAUACUCGACAUCAGCGAUACACUGUUGGUGUCUGAGCGAAAGCAUUAAGUAUCCCACCUGGGAAGUACGAUCGCAAGAUUGAAACUUAAAUGAAUUGACGGCUGAGAGNGCGAGACGACGACGAGGGAGGAGG
RNAcentral lists this ribosomal RNA (610 nucleotides) under uncultured bacterium. RNAcentral's name for it is "bacterial SSU rRNA". It matches the Rfam family "Bacterial small subunit ribosomal RNA", at positions 338 to 948 of the family's 1533-position model. The record is from RNAcentral.